CGGGGCGUGGCGCAGCUGGUAGCGCAUCUGGUUUGGGACCAGAGGGUCGCCUGUUCGAAUCGGGUCGCCCCGA
Molecule: transfer RNA, 73 nt
Filed under: Bacteroidota bacterium
Lineage: Bacteria; Pseudomonadati; Bacteroidota
Also listed under: 1 other name
Description: tRNA-Pro
Rfam family: tRNA
About the family: Transfer RNA (tRNA) molecules are approximately 80 nucleotides in length. Their secondary structure includes four short double-helical elements and three loops (D, anti-codon, and T loops). Further hydrogen bonds mediate the characteristic L-shaped molecular structure. tRNAs have two regions of fundamental functional importance: the anti-codon, which is responsible for specific mRNA codon recognition, and the 3' end, to which the tRNAs corresponding amino acid is attached (by aminoacyl-tRNA synthetases). tRNAs cope with the degeneracy of the genetic code in two manners: having more than one tRNA (with a specific anti-codon) for a particular amino acid; and 'wobble' base-pairing, i.e. permitting non-standard base-pairing at the 3rd anti-codon position.
Source: RNAcentral